Long non-coding RNA from Erinaceus europaeus (western European hedgehog), 641 nucleotides. RefSeq lists it as uncharacterized. The transcript has 4 exons. Lineage: Eukaryota; Metazoa; Chordata; Mammalia; Eulipotyphla; Erinaceidae. The record is from RefSeq and is a predicted model, not a curated record.
CACAGUCUUCUAAGAUCGCUCAUGGAACCUCUUUAUCCUAGGAAUCUCCUGAUGAAUAAAAGAGGAAGAACAGAUCCCAAGGCUAUCCCCAUCUGUGAAAACACACGACACUGUAGAGAGCUUCAAAAGGAACGAUAGACAACAAUUUCUCUGACGAUUGACACGCAGAGACUGAAAGAAGUAGACAGAGAAAAGAGGAAGAGGGGCACCGCUGUACUGCUCCACUUCUGAAGCCCCCCCACCCCCGCCUGCAGGUGGGGACUCGGGGCUGGAACCUGGGUCCUGCCCAUGUGACAUGGGCUUCACUUCUUGGACAGACAUUUUCAGAUCGAUGGACACAGAGAUAAAUGGAGAGAAUGAAGACACCUUUUGCAUCAGUCCAGAAUACAUUCGGUAAGCCUGGCUCGAGUUUCGCUGAUGGUCACUAACUUCCUCAGAGUGACACAGCAUUUCCUGUAGGCCGUGCCUAAAUUCACCUCUGCCCUCCAGCUGAUGAUGCAAAGAGCAUAGGCCCCACUGAUGGUGACGCCACCUCACACCACCUCUAACAUCAUCUCACCCUACCUUUCCAUCCCUGCCUCUACCCCCUGCCUAUAAAAAAAUGGCCUUUUCCUCAAUAAAGCGAGUCACUGCCUUGACAG